UCCAGACUCCUACGGGAGGCAGCAGUGAGGAAUAUUGGUCAAUGGCCGAGAGGCUGAACCAGCCAAGUCGCGUGAGGGAUGACGGCCCUACGGGUUGUAAACCUCUUUUGUCGGGGAGCAAAGAGAGUCACGUGUGACUCAUCGAGAGUACCCGAAGAAAAAGCAUCGGCUAACUCCGUGCCAGCAGCCGCGGUAAUACGGAGGAUGCGAGCGUUAUCCGGAUUUAUUGGGUUUAAAGGGUGCGUAGGCGGGCUUUUAAGUCAGCGGUAAAAAUUCGGGGCUCAACCCCGUCCGGCCGUUGAAACUGGGGGCCUUGAGUGGGCGAGAAGAAGGCGGAAUGCGUGGUGUAGCGGUGAAAUGCAUAGAUAUCACGCAGAACCCCGAUUGCGAAGGCAGCCUUCCGGCGCCCUACUGACGCUCAUGCACGAAAGUGUGGGUAUCGAACAGGAUUAGAUACCCCGGUAC
Molecule: ribosomal RNA, 465 nt
Filed under: uncultured bacterium
Lineage: Bacteria
Description: bacterial SSU rRNA
Rfam family: Bacterial small subunit ribosomal RNA
Source: RNAcentral